This 316-nucleotide ribosomal RNA is filed under the name uncultured bacterium. Its description in RNAcentral is "bacterial SSU rRNA". It matches the Rfam family "Bacterial small subunit ribosomal RNA", at positions 28 to 334 of the family's 1533-position model. The record is from RNAcentral.
GAUAAACGCUGGCGGCGCACAUAAGACAUGCAAGUCGAACGGACUUAACUCAUUCUUUUAGAUUGAGAGCGGUUAGUGGCGGACUGGUGAGUAACACGUAAGCAACCUGCCUUUUAGAGGGAAAUAACAAGAAGAAAUUUUUGCUAAUGUCCCAUAAGACCACAUUGUGGCAUCACAAAGUGAUCAAAGGAGAAAUCCGCUAAAAGAUGAGUCUACGGCUGAUUAGCCAGUUGGCGGGGUAAAGGCCCACCAAAGCUAUGAUCAGUAGCCGAGCUGAGAGGCUGGCCGGCCACAUUGGGACUGAGACACGGCCCAG